UACGAAGGGGGCUAGCGUUGUUCGGAAUCACUGGGCGUAAAGGGCGCGUAGGCGGCUUUAUAAGUCGGGGGUGAAAGCCUGUGGCUCAACCACAGAAUUGCCUCGAUACUGUAUGGCUUGAGACCGGAAGAGGUAAGUGGAACUGCGAGUGUAGAGGUGAAAUUCGUAGAUAUUCGCAAGAACACCAGUGGCGAAGGCGGCUUACUGGUCCGGUUCUGACGCUGAGGCGCGAAAGCGUGGGGGAGCGAUCCGG
Molecule: ribosomal RNA, 253 nt
Filed under: uncultured bacterium
Lineage: Bacteria
Description: partial 16S ribosomal RNA
Rfam family: Bacterial small subunit ribosomal RNA
Source: RNAcentral